GGCGCGAGAGCUUUGAAACCUAUGGCUUGAAGGAGAGGUGAUGGUUUGUUGCGAUUGAGAGCAGAAACUGCGAUGGUUGAUGGAGAAGAAGAAGGUGUUCUUCGGGAAAGCAGUUUGAUUGAAGAAGAAGAAGAAGAAGAGAUUGCCCUCAAAGCAGUGGUUGAGCUCGCCAUUGCUGGUUGCGCACAGUUGAAAAUAAAAAGGUGGUGUUUGGGAAGAAGGAAAAUAAAAAGG
Molecule: long non-coding RNA, 234 nt
Filed under: Carica papaya (papaya)
Lineage: Eukaryota; Viridiplantae; Streptophyta; Magnoliopsida; Brassicales; Caricaceae
Description: long non-coding RNA (CPAP_LNC004883)
Source: RNAcentral